This 371-nucleotide ribosomal RNA is filed under the name uncultured organism. RNAcentral describes it as "bacterial SSU rRNA". It matches the Rfam family "Bacterial small subunit ribosomal RNA", at positions 526 to 896 of the family's 1533-position model. The record is from RNAcentral.
CGUAGGGUGCGAGCGUUAAUCGGAAUUACUGGGCGUAAAGCGUGCGCAGGCGGUUUUGUAAGACAGGCGUGAAAUCCCCGGGCUCAACCUGGGAACUGCGCUUGUGACUGCAAGGCUAGAGUACGGCAGAGGGGGUGGAAUUCCACGUGUAGCAGUGAAAUGCGUAGAGAUGUGGAGGAACACCAAUGGCGAAGGCAGCCCCCUGGGUCGAUACUGACGCUCAUGCACGAAAGCGUGGGUAGCAAACAGGAUUAGAUACCCUGGUAGUCCACGCCCUAAACGAUGCGAACUGGACGUUGGGAGCAAUCAGGCUCUCAGUGUCGAAGCUAACGCGUUAAGUUCGCCGCCUGGGGAGUACGGUCGCAAGACUG